Cucurbita maxima (winter squash) is the source of this 103-nucleotide long non-coding RNA. RefSeq lists it as uncharacterized. Lineage: Eukaryota; Viridiplantae; Streptophyta; Magnoliopsida; Cucurbitales; Cucurbitaceae. The record is from RefSeq and is a predicted model, not a curated record. The transcript has 3 exons.
UUGAGAAAUUGAAAUUGGUGUUAUAUGAGAAUGUAAGCAAAAGGCAACAACAAUGACUUAUUGCAUAUAACUAUCGGUGUGACAGGUUUCCACACUCUUAUAA